RNAcentral lists this ribosomal RNA (415 nucleotides) under uncultured Thauera sp. Its description in RNAcentral is "bacterial SSU rRNA". It matches the Rfam family "Bacterial small subunit ribosomal RNA", at positions 128 to 535 of the family's 1533-position model. The record is from RNAcentral. Lineage: Bacteria; Pseudomonadati; Pseudomonadota; Betaproteobacteria; Rhodocyclales; Zoogloeaceae.
CCCAUGUCGUGGGGGAUAACGUAGCGAAAGCUACGCUAAUACCGCAUACGCCCUGAGGGGGAAAGCGGGGGAUUCUUCGGAACCUCGUGCGAUUGGAGCGGCCGAUGUCGGAUUAGCUAGUUGGUGGGGUAAAGGCCCACCAAGGCGACGACCCGUAGCGGGUCUGAGAGGAUGAUCCGCCACACUGGGACUGAGACACGGCCCAGACUCCUACGGGAGGCAGCAGUGGGGAAUUUUGGACAAUGGGGGCAACCCUGAUCCAGCCAUGCCGCGUGAGUGAAGAAGGCCUUCGGGUUGUAAAGCUCUUUCGGCCGGGAAGAAAUCGUGGUCUCUAACAUAGGCCAUGGAUGACGGUACCGGACUAAGAAGCACCGGCUAACUACGUGCCAGCAGCCGCGGUAAUACGUAGGGUGCG